CACCCAGGUCCCCAUCCUGGUGGCCCCUUGGGUCAGAGCUUAGACAUCAGACUUAAUCCACUCUGGGAAGAAAAUCAGGAAGCCUGCUCUCUCCUCCGCUUAUCAAGACAGUUUCCGUGUUCCUAAGAUGCCAUGCAUCCUCUGCCAUGGAGUUGUGACCAGAAACUUGCCACUGCCAUCUGGUUGGUGUCAUGUUAGGAUCCACUGAGAACAAAUGGGAAUAUGUGGCAGGACUGUUCAUUGCUGUGACCAACAAAGUGACAGCUUUGAAAAUGGUGCUCAGCCUCAUUAACCCAAAUGGAGUUAGCCGUGGUCCUUGCCUAAGGGAUGGCAGUAAGCUUUAGCCAAUGCCACCUCAUGCCCACUACCUGGUGUCCAGGAGGUGGCAGGCUUGGUGAGCACAGGGGACCUCCAGCAGACUUUCCUCCUGCCUCUGGGAUAUCUGGGAUGGAGUCUUUGCCAUUACUGGCAGCAGUGGCUCCCAGGUACCCCAGUCCUGAUCUGCACCCACUGACAACUAUGUCAGGCCAGGCCCCACCUGUACCCCACCUGAGGGCCAAGAGAAGGCUGAGUCACCACUGGACACAAACCCAACCCACUGGAACUUGUAAGGCACAUUUUCCUGAGCAUGGUAUGACUUCCCCCUCCUUCUUCCCGGUUUAGUUCAGGGGCCCUUGUGUCUGAGAUUCCCACCACAUGAUAACCACGGGCUUUAGUGUGCAUCGAGUCCCUCAGAGGGUCUGUGAAGAUGCAGGGUGUGGGGCAGAGCCUGAGAAUAUGCAUUUCCCAGUUUCUGAUGCUGUGGGGCUGCAGGGCCAGGCCUUGCUGAGUGACUGUGCUGUGCAGGUUCCAGAUAGUGCAGGGGAGGACAAGGGGCAAGGAGGCUGCUGGGCUCUGGUUGGGGUGUUGCAAAGGGAUUGCUGAGUCUCCCCAGCUGGGCCUCCCCCCCAGAAAUGGGGUGACCCAUGGGCCAGCUAAGGACCAACACAGCUACGCCAGCCAUGGACUGGGCUCUGGAGCCACUGAGUCACGCAGGUCAUGCUGAGUCUCUCUCUUUCCUGGGGAUUGGGAGCAGUAAGGAGAGGGGGUAGGGAGUCACUCAGGGACAGGGUGGAUGGUCCCUCCCGCAGCACAUGAUCUGCAUCCCGUCCCAGGCCCUGUCACGGACACACCCAGGCUGUCACGUGCCUGGCAGCAUCAGUCACCUUCAGCCUCCUGGUGAGUGGCUCUGAGGACCGCACCUGCAUCCUGUGGGACCUGGACCACCUUGUGCAUGUGGUGCGUCUGCCUGCCCACCGGAAGGGCAUCUCGGCCAUCGCCAUCAGUGAUGUCUCGGGCACCAUCGUCUCCUGUGCAGGUCCCCACUUGUCCCUGUGGGAUGUGAAUGGACAACCCCUGGCCAGCAUCACCACAGCCUCGGGCCCGGAAGGAGCCAUAACCUGCUGCUGCAUGGUGGAGGGACCAACAUGGGACCCAAGCCACGUCGUUGUCACAGGCAGUCAAGACGGCAUGGUUCGGAUUUGGAAGACUGAGGAUGUGAAGAUGUCUGUUCCCCAGCAGGCAGCAGCAGAGGAGCCCUGCAUGCGGCCUCCACAGCCCCAGAGGUCACAAGUGGCAGAAGAACCUCGCCCUGUGCCGGGAGCUAGAUGUCAAUCUGGCUUUGACAGGAAAGCCCAGCAAGGCCAGCCCUGCGGUGACAGCUCUGGCCGCCUCUAGGAACCAGCCGAAGCUCCUGGUUGGCGAUGAGAAGGGGAGAAUAUUCUGCUGGUCUGCAGAUGGGUAGGCUGCAGCAGGGGCUCUGGCAUGCAACCUUAUGUGGUACCCAGCAGUGGAAAUGAUCAGGGCCUUUGGGGGCCCCCUCUCCCCAGGGCAUUUGAGGAAGGGGCCUCUGCCCAUCAGUGCUCCAUACCCCAAACUGUCCCUGUGGCCCGUGGGAGGACUCUAGACAGGCUACAAAAACACAUGUAUGCUGGACACUGACCUGUGGGUGACAAGACACACAGGAAAUGCACAUGACUCUGCUAUUCCACUGAGAAAAAUGGGGCGGGUUACUGGAAACUGUCUGGUGUGUUUAUUUUAUUAAAGCAACUAUUUUCCCAGUGUCAGAACCUGAGUUUGAAAUCACUGCUCUCUUCUUCUCUGGUGUCCUCAUCUCACCUCACCUGGGCCAGAGAGCCCCGAGCAGUGAGUCAAGAGAGUCACCCACUGCUGGUGGAGGGAAGUCGGGCUAGGGUG
Molecule: long non-coding RNA, 2235 nt
Filed under: Heterocephalus glaber (naked mole-rat)
Lineage: Eukaryota; Metazoa; Chordata; Mammalia; Rodentia; Bathyergidae
Description: lncRNA (ENSHGLG00100039057.1)
Source: RNAcentral